Molecule: long non-coding RNA, 1006 nt
Organism: Frankliniella occidentalis (western flower thrips)
Lineage: Eukaryota; Metazoa; Arthropoda; Insecta; Thysanoptera; Thripidae
Exons: 4
Source: RefSeq, a predicted model, not a curated record
CCGCGCGCCGCCCGCCGCGCUCCCGCGCCCGCACGCCCGCCGCGCCCCGCCCAGCCGCGCCACCCGCGCCCCGCCAGCAGGAUUUGUACCAGCAAGACCGGCGGCGGCGGCGCCGGUGCCGGGGUGCCGGCCAGGGUCGCGGAGUCGGCAUGGGCUUGGCGGGCCUCGCGGGCUGCCGCGCUGGUCCGGGCUGGUCAGGGCCAAGGGCGGCGCCCCCGACGGCGGCCCGCGGCGGCAGUGGCGGCAGCGGCCACAGCGUAGAGCGGCCAUAGGGCAUGCCGCGCUAUGCAGCUGCUGGCCCUCAACGCCCUCCUCAUGUUCGACGUCGUCUUCGUCUUCUUCCUCUUCCUGGUGGGCGUCUCCUGCCUGGCCUACUACCUGCCCGCCACCUCCCGCCGCGCCACGCCCCGCCACGACCCCGAGCCCGCCUACCCGCCCUCUCCGCGCCACUACGUCACGGACCCGCGCGCGCGCCCCGCGCAGUCCCCCGUGGACCAGGUGUGAGGACGCCGUCGUCCGGGACCACGUGCGCAACGACGUCGUCCGGGACGGCGCCAUGGACGACGCCCAGCUCAACGACCGACUCUUCCUGCCGGCGGCGGCGUCGCUCGUGGCGCCGUAAACAGGCCCUGCAGAUCGAGACGACCUAGUGAUAGUGCGGCAACAAGGGACGGACGGGCGCGUGUGUGUGAGUGUGUGUGUGAGCGUUUUUGUGUAUGUAUGUGUGUGUGCAACCUUGUGUCCGCGAUGCCGCUGCUGCUGCUGCCGCCGCUGCUCCCACAGCAGAACUCGGUGCGCGGACGCUGCUACACGGAUUUUCGGCCCCAUUUGCAUAUCAACCAAACGAAAAAGGGGGCUGCUGGCCUGGCCGGGGGACGACGGAGGAGGCCAACGACUGCGACUGCAAACUGCGACUCAAUUCGGACACGCACGGAUAGAUUUGUAAUAUGUGUGUACACAAUAACUGUAUAAUGACAAUAAACAGUUGCGAACUGAUUUAACACAA